RNAcentral lists this ribosomal RNA (115 nucleotides) under Petromyzon marinus (sea lamprey). The record is from RNAcentral. Lineage: Eukaryota; Metazoa; Chordata; Hyperoartia; Petromyzontiformes; Petromyzontidae.
GCCAACAACCGUAUCACCCUGAAUGCGCCCGAUCUCGUUUAGAUCUCGGAAGCCAAGGAGGGUUGAGCCUUGUUGGUACUUGGAAUGGGACAGGCCAACCUUGGGGUUGUGCGUA